GUCUACGGCCAUACCACCCUGAACACGCCCGAUCUCGUCUGAUCUCAGAAGCUAAGCAGGGUCGGGCCUGGUUAGUACUUGGAUGGGAGACCAUUUGUAAACUUGAUUCUGGUGAAA
This is a ribosomal RNA of Erinaceus europaeus (western European hedgehog), 117 nucleotides long. The record is from Ensembl. NCBI's taxonomy places the organism in Eukaryota, Metazoa, Chordata, Mammalia, Eulipotyphla, Erinaceidae.